UACGUAGGGGGCGAGCGUUGUCCGGAAUUAUUGGGCGUAAAGAGCGCGCAGGCGGCUAUUUAAGUCUACCGUGAAAGCUUACGGCUCAACCGUAACAGGCCGGUGGAUACUGGAUGGCUUGAGUGCGGGAGAGGGUAGUGGAAUUCCCAGUGUAGAGGUGAAAUUCGUAGAUAUUGGGAAGAACACCAGUGGCGAAGGCAGCUACCUGGACCGCAACUGACGCUGUGGCGCGAAAGCGUGGGGAGCAAAC
This 250-nucleotide ribosomal RNA is filed under the name uncultured bacterium. RNAcentral describes it as "partial 16S ribosomal RNA". It matches the Rfam family "Bacterial small subunit ribosomal RNA", at positions 524 to 773 of the family's 1533-position model. The record is from RNAcentral.